GACGAACGCUGGCAGCGUGCCUAAUACAUGCAAGUUGAGCGCUGAAGGUUGGUACUUGUACCAACUGGAUGAGCAGCGAACGGGUGAGUAACGCGUGGGGAAUCUGCCUUUGAGCGGGGGACAACAUUUGGAAACGAAUGCUAAUACCGCAUAAAAACUUUAAACACAAGUUUUAAGUUUGAAAGAUGCAAUUGCAUCACUCAAAGAUGAUCCCGCGUUGUAUUAGCUAGUUGGUGAGGUAAAGGCUCACCAAGGCGAUGAUACAUAGCCGACCUGAGAGGGUGAUCGGCCACAUUGGGACUGAGACACGGCCCAAACUCCUACGGGAGGCAGCAGUAGGGAAUCUUCGGCAAUGGACGAAAGUCUGACCGAGCAACGCCGCGUGAGUGAAGAAGGUUUUCGGAUCGUAAAACUCUGUUGGUAGAGAAGAACGUUGGUGAGAGUGGAAAGCUCAUCAAGUGACGGUAACUACCCAGAAAGGGACGGCUAACUACGUG
This 497-nucleotide ribosomal RNA is filed under the name uncultured bacterium. RNAcentral's name for it is "partial 16S ribosomal RNA". It matches the Rfam family "Bacterial small subunit ribosomal RNA", at positions 28 to 507 of the family's 1533-position model. The record is from RNAcentral.